AUACUGUAGAAGUGCCGAUUGCCUCCGCGCCGCUCGCUCGCGCGUGCCGAAGAAGAAGGUUCGCUCGCCCAUGACGGAACGCGACGGGAGGUAGCUCGCCUGUUCCGUCAGGCUCCCUCGCGUCGGCCUCCGCCGCCGCUCACUCGCCCACGCCGGAGGAAGAAGGUGGUAGCCCGGGGGCGCGUCAGGAGGAGGGUGCCGCGGGCGGCCUCCGCCGCCGCCUACUCCCGCGUGCCCACCUCUCCACUGAUAAUUGCGGUUCCAGUCGAUUCGGGGUCCCGUUGGCGAGCGGCGAGCGGGACGAGCGUAGGCGGCGGCGGCUUCUGUCGGAUUUCCGGCGGCGAGUGGUCGGCGGCGGCUGUGCUGCGGCGUUCGACGACGACGGAAGGGGCGACAAGCAGCUUACCGCGAGCUCGGUUCUGAUUUUGACGGCGCGACCGUCCACGGAGGAGCAGACCCGAGCCCCUGAUAUCCACCGGCGGCAGCAGCCGUCUCUCUCUCUCCCUCCCUCAGGCCAAGAGCAUACAGGUGAUUCUCUCUCCUCCGGUGAAGAAGCUCGUCCCAGUGGUUAAAUCUCCUCCGGCGAAGCCAACUCUCCCUCCACUUCACCCCGGUCGGCAGCGGCUUCGCACGACUCGACCGUCGAGGGGCCCUCCUGCACCUGCAGCACGACCUCCGACCCCCUGAGCCGCUGCCCUGCCGCCGACCGCAGGUCCUCAUCUUCCCUUCACCGACGUGUUCGACGAGCUGCACGACCGCCCGCACUCAUCCAUUGUUAAGGGUGCUUAUGCUUAUGAUAUCAAUGGGAAAAAGUAUAUAGAUGCUCUUGCGGGACUGUGGUGUACAGCUCUAGGUGGUAACGAACCUCGACUUGUGAAAGCUGCAACAGACCAAUUAAACAAAUUAUCCUUCUACCAUUCGUUCUGGAAUCGUACUACCAAACCCUCACUGGAUCUUGCAAAUGAUAUUCUGAACAUGUUCACUGCAAGGGAAAUGGGAAAGGUAUUCUUCACAAAUAGCGGUUCAGAAGCAAAUGACUCUCAGACCACAUGACCAUCAGUGUGUUUCGUGCGAGCUCGACGAAUAAGUGAACCUUUUCCUCCAGUGAGUUCUUGCUCCAAUGGGUUCGCUGCUGGUGAAAUCUCCUCCACCUCCUGCUCCAGUGAGCUCUUCCCCUGCAUCACCGCCUCUCCGCCAGUAAAACUGCAUGUGCAAUGAAGGUUACAGGCAAAACUCCCGAUAAAGUAAAAAAAAAUCAAUAUACAAGGGAGCCAGGAUUCAGCUUCGUUUCAUUUUGCUGCUCCUGUACUUGCCGCCUGCCACCGCAGACGCCACCCGCAACAUCAUCAAUUGGAGUUGAUGACAAAGGACUAGGGAUGUCCUUGUCAAUCUUUUUGCAAGAAUAACACUGAUGUGUUAUAAAGGUUUACCAGAUGUAUCAAGCAUUUCAAACAUAAUAAAUUACAUCGAGGUCGUUGGACCACCGAACGAGUUUUACCGCUGCCAAAACAAGCUGACGAUGUGUCACUAUCAUGGCUCGCCUACCGGAGCUGUAUAUGAACGCCGAGAAGUACUCAUGCUCGUGCCCUAAGGACCAACGGCCUGGAGUUGUAGUGGUCGUUAUCGAACCCUUGAAAUGAUUUGAACAAGGUGACACCGAAUCUCACUAGCACGCAUGCACGGCAAAUAAAAACCCUAACCACGUCUCUCAGAGGGGACAACAUGAGUCUCCGAGGGUGUAUCUAUAGUAAUUUAUGGUGUUUAAAUGCUUUAGAAACUUAUAAGAAAAGAUUAAUGUAAUAUAAAAAUGUAAAUCCUGUUAUUAGAAAUUGUAGGAAAUACUUAUAAUUAUCCAA
Long non-coding RNA from Brachypodium distachyon (stiff brome), 1856 nucleotides. RefSeq lists it as uncharacterized. NCBI's taxonomy places the organism in Eukaryota, Viridiplantae, Streptophyta, Magnoliopsida, Poales, Poaceae. The record is from RefSeq and is a predicted model, not a curated record. The transcript has 8 exons.